RNAcentral lists this long non-coding RNA (1442 nucleotides) under Heterocephalus glaber (naked mole-rat). Its description in RNAcentral is "lncRNA (ENSHGLG00100032912.1)". The record is from RNAcentral. Lineage: Eukaryota; Metazoa; Chordata; Mammalia; Rodentia; Bathyergidae.
GUCUUUGAGAAUUAAAAUAGCAAGGCUAUGAUUGAAUUUGAUCCAUUUUGUUAGGAUCAGUGGUCUCUGGGAUACAUCUGACCUUAAUCUUCUAUGAAAGUGUAUCUAGGCAUACAACAUUGCCAUCCCAUAAUAACACCAGGAUGGUCCUUUUACUCUAUAGACACUUCAUGUUGGGGUGAGGAAUGCACACACUAAGAAAAGCAAGGGGGCCUUGAUUUUUAAUGAUAUGAUUAGGAAUAGCUAUCCCUCAUUGACAACUAGGCACUGUGUGUACAUCAAUUCUUACUUAAACCCAGAAGGCAGAAAAAUGCAAUGAUUUCUUUCAUUAAACCAAAGUGCUGCUGCAAGGUUGGUUGAAAUGAAGACUCCUCUGUGAGCUAGUGCUCCUGGAUUUCCUAGCUGCUUGGUCUUAUCUGCUAAUAUUUUUCUUUCCCUCAUGAACAGGGUUCUAAAACUUGAACUAUGGGAAGAAUUCUCUACACAGGGCCAGAUGCCUGCUGCAAACUCAGGAAUGUGGAGUGGGCCCCAAAAGCUGUGUGGUUAGCAUACAGUACUGGAGAUUCUGAGCUUACUGUCCUGAACAGCAUUUGGAGAAAUGCUAGCAAGGCCAUUCGCCCCUGAUUUACCAUUUCCACCACUGGGCCAGCAUUGAGAAACUUUGCUUCUCACAUCUGGGCCUACAAUAGACCAUUAGUUCCCAUGCAUAGAGUAUUAGCUGGAGUGUUUAUGUCAAGAGAUAGAAGGGAUACUGUGCAUCUGCAUCUAAGGAGCUAAAAUCCCAAAAUCUGAGCCUAGCUUUCUUCUCUGCUACUUGAAGUAAGAAGCAGGCAAUGUGAUCUAAUGCCUAAGAGAACAUAAUAGUAAACAGACCUGGCUAAUGAUUCCCAAGAGUUCAGAAAGGCCAAGUGUACAUGGUCCACUCAUGAUUUCACAGUGUGUGGAAAGUACAAAUGCAAAUACCACUGGCCUCUUUGAAUCUCAUUGUGCAGAAUGUAGGAUCCUUGAGCUUGGAUUGAGGCAGCAGAUUAGAGCACAGUCAGCUGGCUAGGCAAGUGGGUGUGAUCUGUCAAUCAGAGAUCCAGGUCAUGUGCAAAAAAACCCAGUUAAAAGUCCUGCAAUUUGGACCAAUUGAAAAGGGCUAUUUUCAGUUCUUACUAAAAUUCAAACAAGGUUUUGAUAGGACAGCCUAGAUCUGACAUCUGCCUGAGGACAAAACAUGGCCACCAUUAAGCUGGUAGCCACUAUGACAGUGGUAACAAACCUAUAGCACGUGUGUAAUUGUGUUUUUAAGACAAAAGAUGUUAAACCUAAAAACCUCAGUAUUCAGGUUUAAUUGUAGUGUUGAGACUUUGCAAUAAAUACAUGGGUUUGGGUUGCAGUUUGGCACUUAGUCCCUAAAAGGUUUGCCAUUACCGCACUAUGAGCUUCCUCAGUGGCCC